Molecule: ribosomal RNA, 253 nt
Filed under: uncultured bacterium
Lineage: Bacteria
Description: partial 16S ribosomal RNA
Rfam family: Bacterial small subunit ribosomal RNA
Source: RNAcentral
UACAGAGGUGGCAAGCGUUGUUCGGAAUUACUGGGCGUAAAGGGCGCGUAGGCGGCCAUCUAAGUCAGACGUGAAAUCCCCCGGCUUAACCUGGGAACUGCAAUGGAAACUGGCGGGCUUGAGUGUGGCAGAGGGGGGUGGAAUUCCGCGUGUAGCAGUGAAAUGCGUAGAGAUGCGGAGGAACACCGAUGGCGAAGGCAGCCCCCUGGGCCAACACUGACGCUCAGGCACGAAAGCGUGGGGAGCAAACAGG